Molecule: ribosomal RNA, 112 nt
Filed under: Caerostris darwini
Lineage: Eukaryota; Metazoa; Arthropoda; Arachnida; Araneae; Araneidae
Source: RNAcentral
AACGGCCAUACCAUGCUGAAUAUACCGGUUCUCGUUAGAUCACCGAAGUUAAGCAUCAUUGGGCGCGGUCAGUACUUGGGUGGGUGACCACCUGGGAACAUUGCGUGCCGUU